UGGGGAAUAUUGCACAAUGGGCGAAAGCCUGAUGCAGCGACGCCGCGUGAGGGAUGACGGCCUUCGGGUUGUAAACCUCUUUCAGCAGGGAAGAAGCGAAAGUGACGGUACCUGCAGAAGAAGCGCCGGCUAACUACGUGCCAGCAGCCGCGGUAAUACGUAGGGCGCAAGCGUUGUCCGGAAUUAUUGGGCGUAAAGAGCUCGUAGGCGGUCUGUCACGUCGGAUGUGAAAGCCCGGGGCUUAACCCCGGGUCUGCAUUCGAUACGGGCAGACUAGAGUGUGGUAGGGGAGAUCGGAAUUCCUGGUGUAGCGGUGAAAUGCGCAGAUAUCAGGAGGAACACCGGUGGCGAAGGCGGAUCUCUGGGCCAUUACUGACGCUGAGGAGCGAAAGCGUGGGGAGCGAACA
Molecule: ribosomal RNA, 407 nt
Filed under: uncultured Streptomyces sp.
Lineage: Bacteria; Bacillati; Actinomycetota; Actinomycetes; Kitasatosporales; Streptomycetaceae
Description: bacterial SSU rRNA
Rfam family: Bacterial small subunit ribosomal RNA
Source: RNAcentral